AGUAACAAGUGGGCAACCUGCCUCAAGGACUGGGAUAACUCCGGGAAACCGGGGCUAAUACCGGGCGACGUCGUCUGGCGCAAGCCAGCCGACCAAAUGGUAGCUUCGGCCUCCGCCUUGAGAUGGGCCCGCUUCCUAUCAGCUUGUUGGUGAGGUAACGGCUCACCAAGGCUACGACGGGUAGCUGGUCUGAGAGGAUGAUCAGCCACACUGGGACUGAGAUACGGCCCAGACUCCUACGGGAGGCAGCAGUGGGGAAUUUUGCGCAAUGGGCGAAAGCCUGACGCAGCAACGCCGCGUGAGCGAAGAAGGCCUUCGGGUUGUAAAGCUCUGUCAGGGGGAAAGAAGGCACCUGGGUUAAUAGCCCAAGGGCUGACGUACCCCCAAAGAUC
RNAcentral lists this ribosomal RNA (392 nucleotides) under uncultured Rubrobacterales bacterium. Its description in RNAcentral is "bacterial SSU rRNA". It matches the Rfam family "Bacterial small subunit ribosomal RNA", at positions 109 to 490 of the family's 1533-position model. The record is from RNAcentral. Lineage: Bacteria; Bacillati; Actinomycetota; Rubrobacteria; Rubrobacterales.